This 1602-nucleotide ribosomal RNA is filed under the name Aethia cristatella. RNAcentral describes it as "16S ribosomal RNA". It matches the Rfam family "Bacterial large subunit ribosomal RNA", at positions 236 to 2837 of the family's 2925-position model. Lineage: Eukaryota; Metazoa; Chordata; Aves; Charadriiformes; Alcidae. The record is from RNAcentral.
CCCAACUGCACCCCCACCAGCGACAAUAACAAAAAUCCACUUCACUACCUAGCUAAAGCAUUUUAUAAACUUAGUAUAGGCGAUAGAAAAGACCCUUUGGCGCGAUAGAGACUCUGUACCGUAAGGGAAAGAUGAAAUAACAAUGAAAAGCAAAGCAAAAAACAGCAAAGAUUAACCCUUGUACCUCUUGCAUCAUGAUUUAGCAAGAAUAACCAAGCAAAGUGAAUUUAAGCUUGCCAUCCCGAAACCCAAGCGAGCUACUUGCAAGCAGCUACCUAUGAGCGAACCCGUCUCUGUUGCAAAAGUGUGGGAUGACUUGCUAGUAGAGGAGAAAAGCCAACCGAGCUGGGUGAUAGCUGGUUGCCUGUGAAAUGAAUCUCAGUUCCCUCUUGACCCUCCUCCCUGGACAUAACCUUAACCCCCAUGUAGUGAGUCAAGAGUAAUUUAAAGGAGGUACAGCUCCUUUAAAAAAGGGUACAACCUCCACUAGCGGAUAACUACCUACCCCAACCUCCCAAACUGUAGGCCCUUAAGCAGCCACCAAUAAAGAGUGCGUCAAAGCUCUACAUGUAAAAAUCCAAUAACAAUACGACUCCCUCCACCAUUAACAGGCCAACCUAUACCAAUAGGAGCAUUAAUGCUAAAAUAAGUAACCAAGCUCAUAUAAGAACCAGGAGCUCAUCCUCUUAAGCGCAAACUUACACUCACACUGAUUAACAGAUAACAAGCCAAUAUUUCAACUAUAACAAGACUAAAAUAUUGAACCCGCCCUGUUACACCAACCGAGGAGCGCCUAACUAGAAAGAUUAAAAUCUGUAAAAGGAACUAGGCAAACCCAAGGCCCGACUGUUUACCAAAAACAUAGCCUUCAGCCCACCAAGUAUUGAAGGUGAUGCCUGCCCAGUGACACUAUGUUUAACGGCCGCGGUAUCCUAACCGUGCGAAGGUAGCGCAAUCAAUUGUCCCAUAAAUCGAGACUUGUAUGAAUGGCUAAACGAGGUCUUAACUGUCUCUUACAGAUAAUCAGUGAAAUUGAUCUUCCUGUGCAAAAGCAGGAAUGCUAACAUAAGACGAGAAGACCCUGUGGAACUUAAAAAUCAGCAGCCACUACAAACAAACUUAAACCUACCAGGCUUCCCUCACCCUAAACACUGGCCUGCAUUUUUCGGUUGGGGCGACCUUGGAGAAAAACAAACCCUCCAAAAAUAAGACUACAACUCUUAACCAAGAGCUACUCCUCAACGUACUAACAGUAACCAGACCCAAUACAAUUGACCAAUGGACCAAGCUACCCCAGGGAUAACAGCGCAAUCCCCUCUAAGAGCCCACAUCGACGAGGGGGUUUACGACCUCGAUGUUGGAUCAGGACAUCCUAAUGGUGCAGCCGCUAUUAAGGGUUCGUUUGUUCAACGAUUAACAGUCCUACGUGAUCUGAGUUCAGACCGGAGCAAUCCAGGUCGGUUUCUAUCUAUGACAAACUUUCCCCAGUACGAAAGGACCGAGAAAGUGGGGCCAAUACCACAAGCACGCCCCCUCCACAAGUAAUGCACCCAACUAAAUUACCAAAGGACACCCCACACUACCACUCCUAGAAAAGGACCA